UGGCUUUUAAAGUUAAUGAUGUAACAAUAGAUCUGCCAUAUAUAUAUAUAUAUAUAUAUAUUUGCCAACACAUUCUCAUGGCCUUUUUUGAAAAAUUCUUGUUGAUUCCAAAUCAAUGAAUGUGUCAACAUAUAUUUCUGAAAUGAUAUCAGAUAAAAUCACCAUGAUAAAUGCAAAAAAUGCAAUCGAUAUUUUCUCACUGCUUAUGGGGUUUUUGUUGUUGUUGUUUUAAAAUAGCUCUAUUACAUUGUUUUAGUCAUCUAUUAUAAAUUUGCUGCUUUACAGGAACAUUAAUCUCCAAAACCAUUCAGUUUGGGAUUGGUCUAAUUAUAUGGAUAAUUUUUAUUUAUUUGUUUCCUUGCAACAGUCCUAUUCCUUUCAGUGCCCCAGGACAUAAAAGGUUUGUACUUGUCUUCUGAAUGAAAACCAGAUAUGCUGCCAGAGCCCUGACAUUUUUUCUUUUUUUUCUGACUCCUUCUGGGAUGUCCCAGCCAGUAUUAAUAGAACUGAAUUUACAAAAGUUAAAUGGCUGGCUAUUGUAGCACCAAAAGGAUGAAGCCAUCAUGGUGUACAUGUUCAAAGGUUGGACUAUGACUUUGGAGAACAUGGUUCAAAUGCUGAAUGCUGAAACGUGUAAGUGUGCCACAUUCGAUUGCAGUGAAGACAUCAAAGCUAUUCAUAAGGACGGAGACACACACUAGGAGAAGCCGCAGCAGUUUGCUUUUGCCUGAGUUUACUGGAAAGGAUGAAUUUUUUCCUCAUCCUCUCCUCCUACUGAUCUGAGUGCAAACUAUUUUUGCACUUUGAACUUAAUUUCCAGGAAUUGAAGUAACACGUGGACAAAUGCGGGGAAGUGGAAAGAGGUGGAGAAAACUGGAGAAAAGAUGGAUUAGUUGGAUUAGUUGGAAGUAUCCCUGCUAAAUCUGGACCGUUGAAAGAUGGCUGGGAGAAUGGCUUGUUAUCAUAUUUUCCACCCACACAUCAAAACAAAGAACACCAUAGGAUUCUGGUCUGUUUGCAUGGAAAGAAACUCUGACAUGAGCACUUCCUACACGGUCAUACCGUAGAUUGCCUACCUAAGUACUGCCAAGAAGAAGGAAAUGCAUCCCUGAAAGAAGAAGGUAUUGAUCUGUAUACAAUUUACACUUGCUAAGGUGAAUAUGUGGGCAGACGUUUAGGUGUAAUCACUGUGAUUUAAACAGAAAUAGACUUAAUCUCAGUAAAUGGGGAUGAAUUCUCAGGUGUACCUGCUCAAUCUACUCUCUAAGGGAGCAUCUACACCAGUAGUUCUCAACUUGUGGAUCCACAGGUGUUUUGGCCUACAACACCCAGAAUUCCCAGCCAGUUUACCAGCUGCUAGGAUAACUGGGAGUUGAAGGCCAAAACAUCUGGGGACCAAAAGAUUGAGAACCACUGCCCUAAGUGUUCAUUGGCGAAGAGCAACUUCAAGGCCUUCUUUCAAACAGAUUUGAGAGUCCUCAAGCACAGAAUUACCUUUAAGUCUACUGUGAUAGGACAUCAGUAAGGAAGAAGACUGCCAUAGUUCCUGUAUGAACUGUCAGAGCAAUAAACAACAAAUUGAGAAGACUGACCAUCACAUGGUUGUAAGGAAGAUGCUGACACAGAUUCGAUUUAGCUGCCAAAUAAAACUUGAAUUUUCAACUAAGCCUUUGGAUCUCUUUGAGGUCUCUCAAAUACAAAUGCAAAUCAUUUUAAACUGUUUUAAUAUAUUUGAUCUCUUUCAGCUUGUUAAUUAUAUUCAAAGGCAUUUAAUGUAUUUAAAUGAUUUUAUUGUUGUAAGGAAUUUUGAAUUGCUUAUUUUAAUUUUAUUUGCAAUCCAGUCUGAAAUCUUUUUGAUAUAGAGCGGAAUAGAAAUAUUUUAACAGCAGCAGUAGCAAUGACAACAAUACAUUGGAAGUUUUGCAGAGUGCUCCCAGAAGUGGCGAAAUAUGAUUGUUUGUGAUAAUACAUUUUUUUAGUCUCUCAUUACUGUUCUUUGUUUUGUUGUUAGUCACCGGAAGGGUAACCCAGCCUAUAUUUGCAGGUUUUGACAGCAGAAGCACUUAUUCAUGAGGAGAUCAUAUUGAAGGAUGGAAAAACGGGAAUAUGCAGUCCUCUCAAUGUCUAGUUUGAAUACAUAUAAUGUGUUUUGACUAUGUAGAAACAGUGUAAUAAAAACUGGAUAUUGUUCA
Anolis carolinensis (green anole) is the source of this 2192-nucleotide long non-coding RNA. RefSeq lists it as uncharacterized. The transcript has 2 exons. Lineage: Eukaryota; Metazoa; Chordata; Lepidosauria; Squamata; Anolidae. The record is from RefSeq and is a predicted model, not a curated record.